RNAcentral lists this ribosomal RNA (200 nucleotides) under uncultured bacterium. Its description in RNAcentral is "partial 16S ribosomal RNA". It matches the Rfam family "Bacterial small subunit ribosomal RNA", at positions 29 to 224 of the family's 1533-position model. The record is from RNAcentral.
AGUGAACGCUGGCGGUAGGCCUAACACAUGCAAGUCGAACGGCAGCACAGGAGAGCUUGCUCUCUGGGUGGCGAGUGGCGGACGGGUGAGGAAUACAUCGGAAUCUACCUUUUCGUGGGGGAUAACGUAGGGAAACUUACACUAAUACCGCAUACGACCUACGGGUGAAAGUGGGGGACCGCAAGGCCUCACGCGAUUAG